AGCAGUCGCCGCGGUAAAACGUAGGUCCCGAGCGUUGUCCGGAUUUAUUGGGCGUAAAGCGAGCGCAGGCGGUUAGAUAAGUCUGAAGUUAAAGGCUGUGGCUUAACCAUAGUACGCUUUGGAAACUGUUUAACUUGAGUGCAAGAGGGGAGAGUGGAAUUCCAUGUGUAGCGGUGAAAUGCGUAGAUAUAUGGAGGAACACCGGUGGCGAAAGCGGCUCUCUGGCUUGUAACUGACGCUGAGGCUCGAAAGCGUGGGGAGCAAACAGGAUUAGAUACCCCUGUAGUCCCUGUCUCUUAUACA
Molecule: ribosomal RNA, 303 nt
Filed under: uncultured bacterium
Lineage: Bacteria
Description: partial 16S ribosomal RNA
Rfam family: Bacterial small subunit ribosomal RNA
Source: RNAcentral